RNAcentral lists this ribosomal RNA (301 nucleotides) under uncultured bacterium. Its description in RNAcentral is "partial 16S ribosomal RNA". It matches the Rfam family "Bacterial small subunit ribosomal RNA", at positions 509 to 809 of the family's 1533-position model. The record is from RNAcentral.
CAGUAGCCGCGGUAAUACGAAGGGGGCUAGCGUUGCUCGGAAUUACUGGGCGUAAAGGGAGCGUAGGCGGACAUUUAAGUCAGGGGUGAAAUCCCAGAGCUCAACUCUGGAACUGCCUUUGAUACUGGGUGUCUUGAGUGUGAUAGAGGUAUGUGGAACUCCGAGUGUAGAGGUGAAAUUCGUAGAUAUUCGGAAGAACACCAGUGGCGAAGGCGACAUACUGGAUCAUUACUGACGCUGAGGCUCGAAAGCGUGGGGAGCAAACAGGAUUAGAUACCCCAGUAGUCCCUGUCUCUUAUAA